GGCAGUUCCAAUAGGUGGGAUCCCAGUAGGUGGGAUGAACCUCGCUUAUCCUCUAGAGAUGUUUCCCUCUACCCAGUGACCUUUGAGGAAAUCCUGACAACCUGUACGCCAGUAGGAGCAGUCUGGAUGUGCCAGCCAAGAUAUAGCAUGUGCAUGGUAUUGGUACAGGGUAUUUUAGCUCAUGUGGAAGAUAAGUCAAAUACUAUUUUUAGCAACCUUUAUUGAUUCCUGUAUAAUUUCCCUUGCUCUUCCUGUGGAAGUUCCUUCCUUUCCAGUAACACUACCAUUUGAAGUAGCACAUCAAUCCUUAUUAUAUGUCAAACUUUACUUUUUUUUCCCCAAGCCUCAGCAUGAUGCGGAAACUCUUAAACACAGAGUCUUCCUGUAAUUUACACACCCAGCCGUAUGCGUAAUUCAAAUAAGAUGUGGAGGCGGGUGCCGAGACACCAGGACAGUGAGCUAAAGCAGGCUCAGGGAGGAUGCAGAUUCCAGGAGCCUCACGUCAGCAGAUGUGCCAGAGGAAUUCCUGCCUCCACCAACCCUGCGCAUCCACGCCUGAGGGAAGAGAGAACCAGGCAUGUGUUGCACAAAGCUUCCCCAGCUGCCAGUCUUGACAAGAGUCGAAACAAAGGCAAAAAAUAGUUGUAUGUUUUAAAAGUGUAUUUCAGUUACCUUUUAAAUCCCAAAUAAUCUUCUUAUUCAGAGGUGAAAUCUGAUCUGGCAGACAUUUCAGCGCCAGACCAUCUUUUCUGCUGACUUCAGGAGACUUAAAGAAACUUUUCAUCCAAAAUUAUUAAUUUCAAAUAGGCACUUGGCAUAGUAUUUUUCCUCUGAGACUGACAUUACAUUAUUUUACUCACUCUGGUACUUUCUAUCCAUGUCCUCAUUGAAGCCCUGUCUGUGAAAUACCUACUGCGCUUUGUUACAUGUUGGUGAAGACUGGUGUUUUCCUCUGUAAACAAAUGCAAGUACCUACAUAACUCUUAGUGUGUCUCUCCUUGACUUCAU
This 1008-nucleotide long non-coding RNA is filed under the name Phasianus colchicus (ring-necked pheasant). Its description in RNAcentral is "lncRNA (ENSPCLG00000002688.1)". Lineage: Eukaryota; Metazoa; Chordata; Aves; Galliformes; Phasianidae. The record is from RNAcentral.